UACGUAGGUGGCAAGCGUUGUCCGGAUUUAUUGGGCGUAAAGCGAGCGCAGGCGGUUCCUUAAGUCUGAUGUGAAAGCCCACGGCUCAACCGUGGAAGGUCAUUGGAAACUGGGGAACUUGAGUGCAGAAGAGGAGAGUGGAAUUCCAUGUGUAGCGGUGAAAUGCGUAGAUAUAUGGAGGAACACCAGUGGCGAAGGCGACUCUCUGGUCUGUAACUGACGCUGAGGCUCGAAAGCGUGGGGAUCAAACAGGAUUAGA
This 259-nucleotide ribosomal RNA is filed under the name uncultured prokaryote. Its description in RNAcentral is "partial 16S ribosomal RNA". It matches the Rfam family "Bacterial small subunit ribosomal RNA", at positions 524 to 782 of the family's 1533-position model. The record is from RNAcentral.